RNAcentral lists this ribosomal RNA (253 nucleotides) under uncultured bacterium. Its description in RNAcentral is "partial 16S ribosomal RNA". It matches the Rfam family "Bacterial small subunit ribosomal RNA", at positions 524 to 776 of the family's 1533-position model. The record is from RNAcentral.
UACGUAGGGUGCGAGCGUUGUCCGGAAUUAUUGGGCGUAAAGGGCUCGUAGGCGGUUUGUCGCGUCGGCCGUGAAAUCUCCACGCUUAACGUGGAGCGUGCGGUCGAUACGGGCAGACUUGAGUUCGGCAGGGGAGACUGGAAUUCCUGGUGUAGCGGUGGAAUGCGCAGAUAUCGGGAGGAACACCGGUGGCGAAGGCGGCGAUCUGGGUCGAUACUGACGCUGAGGUGCGAAAGCGUGGGGAGCAAACAGA